This 367-nucleotide unclassified non-coding RNA is filed under the name plant metagenome. RNAcentral describes it as "partial contains 5.8S ribosomal RNA, internal transcribed spacer 2, and large subunit ribosomal RNA". The record is from RNAcentral.
GGACUGGGAGCUUGCCGAGGGUGUCCGGCGCUGGCGCGCCGCGGCCGCCGAGAUCAUGAGCGGUGGGGCCGCCGCGUGAGAGUGGGGCUCGUCUCGUCCGGAUCGGGCUCGCGCGGCGGGGGCGAGAUCUACCUGGCGUUCUUGGCCGACGGGCUGGCGGCGCUCGGGUGCGAGGUGACGGCGCUCGUGCCCGAUGCGCCACGCAUGGACGAGUUAGCGAGCCGCCUUGGCCGUUCGGCAAAGGUCUCGCGCAUCCCGUUCCGGACGACCUACGACCGGCGGAUAAGGACGCUUGGCGCGUACCUCGACCGGGCGCAGAUCCAGGCGCUUGCGGCUCGGUUCGCUACGCUCGACGUGGAUGUUCUGC